AUUGAACGCUGGCGGCGUGCCUAACACAUGCAAGUCGAGCGGUAACAGGUGUAGCAAUACAUGCUGACGAGCGGCGAACGGGUGAGUAAUGCUUCGGAAUCUACCCAAUGGUGGGGAAUAACCAGCCGAAAGGUUGGCUAAUACCGCAUACGUCCCACGGGAGAAAGCAGGGGAUCGCAAGACCUUGCGCCAAUGGAUGAGCCGAAGUCGGAUUAGCUAGUUGGUAGGGAACGGCCUACCAAGGCGACGAUCCGUAGCUGGUCUGAGAGGACGACCAGCCACACUGGGACUGAGACACGGCCCAGACUCCUACGGGAGGCAGCAGUGGGGAAUAUUGGACAAUGGGGGAAACCCUGAUCCAGCGACGCCGCGUGUGUGAAGAAGGCCUGCGGGUUGUAAAGCACUUUUAGU
Molecule: ribosomal RNA, 411 nt
Filed under: uncultured bacterium
Lineage: Bacteria
Description: bacterial SSU rRNA
Rfam family: Bacterial small subunit ribosomal RNA
Source: RNAcentral